This 76-nucleotide transfer RNA is filed under the name Candidatus Roizmanbacteria bacterium CG_4_9_14_0_2_um_filter_38_17. RNAcentral describes it as "tRNA-Met". It matches the Rfam family "tRNA". Rfam says of the family: Transfer RNA (tRNA) molecules are approximately 80 nucleotides in length. Their secondary structure includes four short double-helical elements and three loops (D, anti-codon, and T loops). Further hydrogen bonds mediate the characteristic L-shaped molecular structure. tRNAs have two regions of fundamental functional importance: the anti-codon, which is responsible for specific mRNA codon recognition, and the 3' end, to which the tRNAs corresponding amino acid is attached (by aminoacyl-tRNA synthetases). tRNAs cope with the degeneracy of the genetic code in two manners: having more than one tRNA (with a specific anti-codon) for a particular amino acid; and 'wobble' base-pairing, i.e. permitting non-standard base-pairing at the 3rd anti-codon position. The record is from RNAcentral. RNAcentral also lists the same sequence under 1 other name. Lineage: Bacteria; Candidatus Roizmaniibacteriota.
GCCAGUGUAGCUCAGUUGGUAGAGCAAAGGAAUCAUAAACCUUCGGUCGCAGGUUCGAGUCCUGCCACUGGCACUA